GCUGUCUAUCCAAGAAAGUCUCUUAGAGAUGCCGAAGGGGCAAGCCUUUAAAUAGGUGAAACUCUCAGGUUUGGUACAGGGCAUGGGGAGAAAUU
This 95-nucleotide non-coding RNA is filed under the name Syntrophaceticus schinkii. Lineage: Bacteria; Bacillati; Bacillota; Clostridia; Thermoanaerobacterales; Thermoanaerobacterales Family III. Incertae Sedis. The record is from RNAcentral.